AGCAAAAUGAGGAGGAUAUAUGAUCUGAAGUAUCUCCUGUUGAUACAACCAUACAUGGUCUUCAAAGUUCUCUGAUUGUU
Molecule: small nucleolar RNA, 80 nt
Organism: Lolium perenne
Lineage: Eukaryota; Viridiplantae; Streptophyta; Magnoliopsida; Poales; Poaceae
Product: small nucleolar RNA R160
Source: RefSeq, a predicted model, not a curated record